GGCGGCAGGCUAACACAUGCAAGUCGAACGGUAACACUGACUAGCUUGCUAGUUGAUGACGAGUGGCUGGGUGAGUAACGCGUAGAAUCUACCCAGUAGCGGGGUGAUAAGCCAGAGAAAUUUGGUCUAAUACCGCAUACGCCCUUCGGGGGAAAGCAGGGUGAUCUUCGGACCUUGCACUAUUGGAUGAGCCUGCGUGAGAUUAGCUAGUUGGUAGGGUAAUGGCCUACCAAGGCAACGAUCUCUAGCUGGUCUGAGAGGAUGAUCAGCCACACUGGAACUGAGACACGGUCCAGACUCCUACGGGAGGCAGCAGUGGGGAAUAUUGCAACAAUGGGACGCAAGCCUAGAUGCAGCCACAUGCCGCGUGUGUAGAAGAAGGCCCUAGGGUUGUAAAGCACUUUCAGGACACUAGAGGAAAGGUGCGUAGUUAAUACACUGACGUAACUGUGACGUUACUGCCAGAAGAAGCACCGGCUAACUCCGUUGACAGGCCAGCCCGGCGGU
This 507-nucleotide ribosomal RNA is filed under the name uncultured Gammaproteobacteria bacterium. RNAcentral describes it as "bacterial SSU rRNA". It matches the Rfam family "Bacterial small subunit ribosomal RNA", at positions 38 to 521 of the family's 1533-position model. Lineage: Bacteria; Pseudomonadati; Pseudomonadota; Gammaproteobacteria. The record is from RNAcentral.